This 525-nucleotide ribosomal RNA is filed under the name uncultured bacterium. Its description in RNAcentral is "bacterial SSU rRNA". It matches the Rfam family "Bacterial small subunit ribosomal RNA", at positions 8 to 526 of the family's 1533-position model. The record is from RNAcentral.
AGAGUUUGAUCCUGGCUCAGGAUGAACGCUAGCGGCAGGCUUAAUACAUGCAAGUCGAGGGGCAGCGCAGUGUAGCAAUACAUGGGCGGCGACCGGCAAACGGGUGCGGAACACGUACGCAACCUUCCUUCAAAUGGGGAAUAGCCUUUCGAAAGAGAGAUUAAUACCCCGUAAAAUUUUCUGGUGGCAUCACCGGAUUAUUAUAGCUCCGGCGUUUGAAGAUGGGCGUGCGGCUGAUUAGGUAGUUGGCGGAGUAACAGCCCACCAAGCCAACGAUCAGUAACUGGUGUGAGAGCACGACCAGUCACACGGGCACUGAGACACGGGCCCGACUCCUACGGGAGGCAGCAGUAAGGAAUAUUGGUCAAUGGACGCAAGUCUGAACCAGCCAUGCCGCGUGGAGGAUUAAGGCCCUCUGGGUUGUAAACUCCUUUUAUCUGGGAAGAAAUGCUUUGAUUCUUCGAAACUUGACGGUACCAGAGGAAUAAGCACCGGCUAACUCCGUGCCAGCCGCCGCGGUAAUAC